ACUCCGCGGCAAGCUUUCCAUAUUUCAAAAUUCGAAUGUUCAAUGGUCGGAUUUGAAAUGUUCAGAUAUCGAGAAAUACAACAACGGUGGAUAUUCAACUGAAGUUUACUCGUCAGGACGGAAAGCUCGUGUACGGUGCGCAAAGACGCGGGCCGUAAGUCACGCAAUUCCUCCCGUUUCGUAUUUUCAGUUCAUUUUUAGAGCAGAGCAGAGAAAUGGGCCAUGAGAAUCAAUAUCAUCAUCAUGCGGCGGUAGAUGAUCUGCAGAAUCUGUUAACGAAAGCGAAUAACGAUCUGUCCGUCGUUCAACACCGCCUCGAGAAAGAAUUCCAGAACACCUACCCCGAUAAUGUAAACCCAUCAAAGCUUGUUUCUCGUAUAAAGAAAAUUCAGGAUGACCUCUCGUCGUUGAAAGAGCAAUGCCGCGAGCUCCUUGCUGCAAAGCAGGAUUUGAUUGACGAGGCCAGGACAACUCUGGUUGGGAACAGAAGUUUAUUGCAACGCAUGCAAGCAUCUUCCGGUCUCCCCAUCACUAGCGACUCUGUUGACUUGGCGUACACAAAUUUAAACCAGGUCAUUGAUGAGUGGACAGUUCAAAUAAGGCCAAAGACAGGGGAUGAGGAGCAUUUUUCAGACUCGGAAGAUAUCAAUCAGUUGCUCUUCUCAGCAAUAGUUCAAAACAGCUAAAGAAAAAAGAGGAACGAUGAUGAAUGGAAGUGAUCUUGUCGGGCUUCCUGUUUUCAACUGCCUUUUAAAACUGGCCCAAUAUCCAAGCUGUCCAUCCAAAGGGAAUCACUAUGUGGAUUUCCUAGCUCAAGAAUGAGGUUAGUCUACUG
Magnolia sinica is the source of this 835-nucleotide RNA transcript. RefSeq lists it as uncharacterized. The transcript has 6 exons. Lineage: Eukaryota; Viridiplantae; Streptophyta; Magnoliopsida; Magnoliales; Magnoliaceae. The record is from RefSeq and is a predicted model, not a curated record.